GACGAACGCUGGCGGCGUGCCUAAUACAUGCAAGUAGAACGCUGAAGGAGGAGCUUGCUCUUCUGGAUGAGUUGCGAGCGGGUGAGUAACGCGUAGGUAACCUGCCUGGUAGCGGGGGAUAACUAUUGGAAACGAUAGCUAAUACCGCAUAAGAGUAGAUGUUGCAUGACAUUUGCUUAAAAGGUGCAAUUGCAUCACUACCAGAUGGACCUGCGUUGUAUUAGCUAGUUGGUGAGGUAACGGCUCACCAAGGCGACGAUACAUAGCCGACCUGAGAGGGUGAUCGGCCACACUGGGACUGAGACACGGCCCAGACUCCUACGGGAGGCAGCAGUAGGGAAUCUUCGGCAAUGGACGGAAGUCUGACCGAGCAACGCCGCGUGAGUGAAGAAGGUUUUCGGAUCGUAAAGCUCUGUUGUAAGAGAAGAACGAGUGUGAGAGUGGAAAGUUCACACUGUGACGGUAUCUUACCAGAAAGGGACGGCUAACUACGUGCCAGCAGCCGCGGUAAUACGUAGGUCCCGAGCGUUGUCCGGAUUUAUUGGGCGUAAAGCGAGCGCAGGCGGUUAGAUAAGUCUGAAGUUAAAGGCUGUGGCUUAACCAUAGUACGCUUUGGAAACUGUUUAACUUGAGUGCAAGAGGGGAGAGUGGAAUUCCAUGUGUAGCGGUGAAAUGCGUAGAUAUAUGGAGGAACACCGGUGGCGAAAGCGGCUCUCUGGCUUGUAACUGACGCUGAGGCUCGAAAGCGUGGGGAGCAAACAGG
RNAcentral lists this ribosomal RNA (763 nucleotides) under uncultured Streptococcus sp. Its description in RNAcentral is "bacterial SSU rRNA". It matches the Rfam family "Bacterial small subunit ribosomal RNA", at positions 28 to 776 of the family's 1533-position model. The record is from RNAcentral. Lineage: Bacteria; Bacillati; Bacillota; Bacilli; Lactobacillales; Streptococcaceae.